GUGUCCCCCCCCCUUCCAAGUCCCUUAAUUAAUUUGAGGGCAGUAUCACAGCUAUGCCCGUGUAUUUAUAGCGGGAUACUGAGGGCGAGUGCUGCGUGCGUUAGGGCUUGGGGUAAGGGACGCCGGAGGGUGUCAGGCCUGCUGCGAUGUCACUGGGGGACCCCGAAGGACGGCGGGAAGACAAACCUGGUCCUUCCUGGGAAUGGUCCCCAGUGCUGGCUGUAGCCUAACCGCUGCCAGGGGCCGAGCUAACAGCUAAGCAGAACGGAUGAGCAGUGUUUUCCAACUAACCUCUUGGCUUUGUUUUGUUUAGUGGGGCAGAUGUAGCUGUUGUUGUGCGUGUUGGAGUGUUUAAUUUGCUAUAACAUAAUUUUGCUUUUUUGACAGGGCAAUAUGUUGCGGUAUAUCUGAAGUGUGAGAAGUACCAAUCGAGCACAGACUGACACGUUUUAAAAUAUCAGUGUUUGCCAGAGCUUCCUCACCAAAUGCUCAUAAAGGAUUCCAUUCUCUGGAGGAGUUGUUUUCCUAAGGAGGUCAUUAUCUACAGGGUACUUGCCUCAUUUGUUGAAGAAACUGGAAAAUGUAUAGCAAAUAAUAGUAGAAACUUUGCAAUGAGAGAAGAGCUUCAUAUGAAGACAGCUGAAUGCUGCUCUAGAGAGCUACAAGCUUUGCUUUUGCCACUGGUUGUCUUCCUCCUGAUGAGGAACAAGUCGUUAAAAUGGAUGUUUUUCAUAAGCAAUCACUUAUGUACUGCUCACUUUGUGGAAUCCAUCUUGAGAACCUCAGUCUAGUUUGUAGAAAUGUAGAGCUUUCACAGACACAGGUGAAAUCAGUAGACCUGUAUUUUGAUGUGAUAUUAUAUGUUUCUGAAUGAGCAGCCAAAUUUACUGGACCUAUUUAAUAUUAAUCUUUCUGUUUCUCAGUUUCCCAUCAUGGAAAAUGGGGAUAAUAGAAGUACACCAUCUGCAGAAUAGGUUGCUAUGACAUAAAUUCAUUCUUGUUUGUGAAGCGAUCAGAUACUUAAUCUGGUCAUGCCCCUGAGUAGACUAUCAAUGAAUUCAGAAAAUAACAUGAAAUAAAUCAAGUGUGGAGCCACA
This 1097-nucleotide long non-coding RNA is filed under the name Struthio camelus australis. RNAcentral describes it as "lncRNA (ENSSCUG00000018094.1)". The record is from RNAcentral. Lineage: Eukaryota; Metazoa; Chordata; Aves; Struthioniformes; Struthionidae.